RNAcentral lists this long non-coding RNA (220 nucleotides) under Elaeis guineensis (African oil palm). RNAcentral describes it as "long non-coding RNA (EGUI_LNC071165)". Lineage: Eukaryota; Viridiplantae; Streptophyta; Magnoliopsida; Arecales; Arecaceae. The record is from RNAcentral.
CUGUUAGGAAAGUUCGGCCACUGACGAACUGACAAAGUUCUGGAAGAAAUUCGGAUUGGAGUCGAUCGAAUCCUGUUGGGAGAAAAUCUGGAAGAGGUCCGGAGAACGGUUGACCCUUGUAGGAGGUCGGCCGACAGUAGAAUCCCGAGAGCAUUUGGAGCAGCCUGAUAGACGACUGAAGAAGCUCAUCGUUGGAGAAGUCUGGGAGAUGCGGCAAGGG